CCGUAGCUCAGUCGGUCAGAGCAGAGGACUCAUAAUCCUUCGGUCGCUGGUUCAAGUCCAGCCGGGCC
Molecule: transfer RNA, 68 nt
Filed under: bovine gut metagenome
Rfam family: tRNA
About the family: Transfer RNA (tRNA) molecules are approximately 80 nucleotides in length.
Source: RNAcentral